RNAcentral lists this long non-coding RNA (3005 nucleotides) under Ornithorhynchus anatinus (platypus). Its description in RNAcentral is "lncRNA (ENSOANG00000041768.1)". Lineage: Eukaryota; Metazoa; Chordata; Mammalia; Monotremata; Ornithorhynchidae. The record is from RNAcentral.
CCCGUUGCUAGGAACUAGACGAAAUUCCGGGAGCCUUUGGGAAGAGACAGGAUGAGGCCGAGGCUCUGGAGAGCCCCUGAUCCCGAACCACCUCGACCGAGAAACAGAUCGGCCCGAAGGGAAUCCAACCUGGGGCCUGAGCUCGAGUAAGAGAGACCUGGAGCCCUCGAACCCGUCUCCUGGCCAGCUUGUGCUGAGCCUCAGAGGUCAAGGAGGUGGAAGGAAUUUCUUUCCGGGGAGGACCGUGGGUCCGUUCCGGCCACUGGAGGAAGAGGAAAGUCAUGGAAUACGAACAACAACUCCCGAGCCCGGCCGGACCCGCGGGCUAUCGGCAGGGUUCCCGACUGACCCGCCUCGACCCCGCGAAAUAGGAGCCGUCUGCUGGUCAGGAGACCCGGGGUGGCCCGUCGCCCUAAAGUUGAGGGGCGAGUGAACCGUGGAAGAGCCAGGCACCCCCCUCCCCGCCGAGCCUGAGGAAUUCAGGGAGGGCACCAAUAAAUUCAGGCCCUUCCCUGUGAUUACUAGGGCUCCGAGCCGCCACCCCCGCGAGAGGACACCCCGGCUGGGACGCAGCCACAGUCGCCGGCGACCUGGGAGGAGAAGCCAAGUGUUCCCGAUGGAGCGGACGCCUCAGAUAUCACCCGGAGCCCGGGUUCUUCCCCAAAAUGGGGCCUGCGACGCCAACCCAUCGUACCCGUGGGGGGUGACGAUACGCGUGACGAUUCGAAGAGUUUCCAAAAAGGACCCCCAAGGACCCUCCGUGGACGAGUGUCAGUGGCCGCCCGCCUCCUCCCAAGCCCACCCUUGUCGGGAGGAAUCAAAGCCAGAACAGAUGUCCUCUCCCCCGCCGUUCGGAGCAGGAAAUGAAAGUAAGGACGCGUGUCUUAUGCCGUCGAGUCGCUCCGACCCGUAGCGACUCCACGGGCACGUCUCUCCCAGAAAGCCCCACCUCCACAUGCCAUCGUUCCGGUGGUGGAUCCGUAGAGUUUUCUUGGUCAAAAUCCGGCAGGGGUUUACCGUCGCCGCCUUCCACGCGGUAAACUCGAAUCUCCGCCCUCGACCCUCCCCCGUGCCGCCGCUGCCCGGCACGGGGGAGUUUCGGCUUGUGGCAGAUGGCCCGCCGGCCGCCGGCCAAGCCAGGGACGGACCGGACAGGCCUCCGCUCGACUCUCCCUCCCGUAGCCGACGCUGGUAGGCGACUGGAAACUCUCCGGGUGCGACCGUGAGAUGGGGUAAAGACACUAGUCAAGGCUACAUCCUCACACCAGCUCUGAGCACCUCUGACCAGCUUGCACCACAAACCUUAAUAAUAAUAAUAAUGAUGAUGACGAUGGCAUUUGUUAAGCACUUUAUAUGUGCCAGGCACUGUACUAAGCGCUGGGGAGGACGCAAGCAAGUCGGGUCCCACGUGGGGCUCUUCUUUAUAUUAACGUCCGUCUCCCCCUCUAGACUGUAAGCUCACUGUGGGCGGGGAAUGUGUCUACCGACUCUGUUAUAUUGUUCUACUAUAGUAAUAAUAAUAAUAAUGUUAUGUGUUAAGCGCUUACUAUGCGCCUAGCACUGUUCUAAGCACUGGGGUAGAUACAAGGUAAUCAGGUUGUCCCACGUGGGGCUCACAGUCUUUCAUCCCCAUUUUCCAGAUGAGGUAACUGAGGCACAGAGAAGUUAAGCGGCUUGUCCAGAGUCGCACAGCUCACAGGCGGCGGAGCCCGGAUUAGAAUCCACGACCUCUGACUCCCGAGCCCGGGCUCUUCCCACUAUAAGCUACGCUACUUCUCCGAGGGCUCUCCCGAGUGUUUUAGAACAGUGCUCCGCGCCGGGUAGGUGCUCUGUAAGUUCAUUCAAUUGCAUUUAUUGAGCGCUUACUGUGUGCGGAGCACUGUACUAAGCGCUUGGGAAAGUACAAUACAUAUUCCCCGCCCACAGCGAGCUUACAGUCUCUAAAUAGCGCUGAUUGAUUUGGGAGGCUUGAGAGGCAGAGGAAGCCUGGGUCCUAUUUCUCACCUGGAGGGGGAGUCUGGUGUGGGGGAAGUGAAGACCCCCUUCCCCGCAUUAGGGUCUCGGUGCCCUCCCCGCCCUCCCUCACGCAGAGAGGUGCUGCUUAUUCUUAUAUUGUCCUUUCCCAAACGCUUAGGACAGUGCUCUGCACACAGUGAGCGCUCAGUAACUACGACCGAGUGAAUUCUGGACCGCCGGGGGCCGGGGGCCACUUCAGCUUGCGUCCCCUCACGCAGGGAAGCACUGGAUGGCGGCUCUGGAUCGAAGUCAGCUGACCGGCCGGGACCUGCUCGACUACCGGGGCGACGCCGGACGGGCCGCGGGCCGAGAGGACGGGAGACCGGGCCGCGUCGACGCGGCCUUGACCCUUUUCCUGACGUCGACCGGCUCCGGGUGAGGCCCGGCUCCAUCCUCCUCUCUACCGUACGGACCGGGCGGGCCACAGGAUUUCUUCUCUCCGAACGGGCCGCGUCGGGGCUCUUCCUGAGCGUGGCACGAAGCCCGAGAGCCCUACCGAAAGCUCACCUCCUCCGGGAGGCCUUCCCAGACUGAGCCCCCCAUUUCCUCUGCUCCUCCUCCCCUCUCCGUCGCCCCGACUCCCUCUCCUCUACCCCCCUCCCCGCCCCACGGCGCCUGUGCGUAUAUGCACAUAUCUAUUUUUUUAUUAAUGACGUGUAGAUAUCUCUAAUUCUCUUUAUCUCUUUUGAUGCUAUCGAUGCCUGUCUACUCGUUUCGUUUCGUUAUCCGGCUCCCCCCUUCUAGACUGUGAGCCCGUUGUUGGGUAGGGAUUGUCUCUAUCUGUUGCCCAACUUUCCAAGCGCUUACUACAGUGCUCCGCGCUCAGUCGGCGCUCAAUAAAUGCGAUCGAAUGAGUGAAGCCCGGGAAAGAGGAAGAAGGACACCCCCAUCGUCCUGCGUCGGAAACGGGUCUUUCCCACCCCAACGAGAAUGCACCGCCGCCAAAAACCCUCUCUCCCACCAUAAUAGUACUACUAAUAAUGGUAUUG